GUAACAAGGUUUCCGUAGGUGAACCUGCGGAAGGAUCAUUAACGCGCCGUGGGGGGUCGGAUCCCUUAACCGGGAACCCCGGCCCUCUCACCUGGCCACCCUUGUCUAUCUUACCUGUUGCUUCGGCGGGCCUGCAGCGAUGCUGCCGGGGGAGUCUGCUCCCCGGGCUCGUGCCCGCCGAGGACACCACAAGAACCUCUGGUGAACGAUUGACGUCUGAAAUGAUAACUAUAAUCAGUUAAAACUUUCAACAACGGAUCUCUUGGUUCCGACAUCGAUGAAGAACGCAGCGAAAUGCGAUAAGUAAUGUGAAUUGCAGAAUUCCGUGAAUCAUCGAAUCUUUGAACGCACAUUGCGCCCUCUGGUAUUCCGGGGGGCAUGCCUGUCCGAGCGUCAUUGCAACCCUCAAGCGCGGCUUGUGUGUUGGGCCUUCGUCCCCCGUGGACGUGCCCGAAAUGCAGCGGCGGCGUCGUGUUCCGGUGCCCGAGCGUAUGGGGCUUUGUCACCCGCUCUAGAGGCCCGGCCGGCUCCGGCCCAUCUCAACUUCAGAGGGAGAGCGGUCUUCGGAUCGGUCUCCCCAACCAGGUUGACCUCGGAUCAGGUAGGGAUACCCGCUGAACUUAAGCAUAUC
RNAcentral lists this unclassified non-coding RNA (631 nucleotides) under Blastomyces parvus. RNAcentral describes it as "sequence contains 18S rRNA gene, ITS1, 5.8S rRNA gene, ITS2, 28S rRNA gene". The stretch from base 243 to 396 matches the Rfam family "5.8S ribosomal RNA". Lineage: Eukaryota; Fungi; Ascomycota; Eurotiomycetes; Onygenales; Ajellomycetaceae. The record is from RNAcentral.